Molecule: ribosomal RNA, 270 nt
Filed under: uncultured Desulfobacteraceae bacterium
Lineage: Bacteria; Pseudomonadati; Thermodesulfobacteriota; Desulfobacteria; Desulfobacterales; Desulfobacteraceae
Description: partial 16S ribosomal RNA
Rfam family: Bacterial small subunit ribosomal RNA
Source: RNAcentral
CUUUAGUUACCAUCAUUCAGGUUGGGGACUACUAAAGAUACUCGCCCGGUUACGGGAGAAGUGGGGAUGACGUCAAGUCCUCAUGGCCCUUAUGCCCAGGGCUACACACGUGCUACAAUGGGCUGUACAAAGGGUUGCAACCCCGCGAGGGUGAGCUAAUCCCAAAAAGCAGUCCUAAGUUCGGAUUGGAGUCUGCAACUCGACUCCAUGAAGUUGGAAUCGCUAGUAAUCGCAGAUCAGCAUGCUGCGGUGAAUACGUUCCCGGGCCUU